AAACCCUGUAAUAACUGGUGUGUAUACCAUUCUACAGGUGGCAUAGGUUAUGUUUUGCAAGAAUAUGUCCUCGGUAUUUUGUGUUUGCAUAUAAAUCUAUGUUAUUUAGAGUUAAUAAAGCUCAUCAAAGGUGAAA
This is a long non-coding RNA of Fundulus heteroclitus (mummichog), 136 nucleotides long. RefSeq lists it as uncharacterized. The transcript has 2 exons. The record is from RefSeq and is a predicted model, not a curated record. Lineage: Eukaryota; Metazoa; Chordata; Actinopteri; Cyprinodontiformes; Fundulidae.